This 342-nucleotide unclassified non-coding RNA is filed under the name Hevea brasiliensis (rubber tree). Lineage: Eukaryota; Viridiplantae; Streptophyta; Magnoliopsida; Malpighiales; Euphorbiaceae. The record is from RNAcentral.
UUUUUUCUUUUUCUCUUUAAUGCAACUUUGUUGGGUGAUGAUGGGUUGUAGAAUAUGUAGUGGGAGAGGCAUAGGUAUCCAUGUUAAUCUCUUAGGCAUGUUCUUUUCAACCCUGCUUUGUAGGGGGAUAUAUUGUUACAGCAUCUGGUCCUGCCAUUUCUGGUUUAUUUCCUUCCCCUUUGAAAGGAACUCUUUAAGGCCUUUGCAAUAUUUCGGUGUUCACUGAAAUAAAAUACAAAGCUAUCUUGGAAAAAGAAUGUUUUGUUGACAAAAAGUCCGAUGUUCUGUUCUAAUUUUUAUAUUGCUUUUUUACUUAAGCUUGAAAGAUUAACUUAAUUAAAC